AGACCCGAAACCCGGUGAUCUAGCCAUGGGCAGGUUGAAGGUUGGGUAACACUAACUGGAGGACCGAACCGACUAAUGUUGAAAAAUUAGCGGAUGACCUGUGGCUGGGGGUGAAAGGCCAAUCAAACCGGGAGAUAGCUGGUUCUCCCCGAAAGCUAUUUAGGUAGCGCCUCGUGAAUUCAUCUCCGGGGGUAGAGCACUGUUUCGGCUAGGGGGCCAUCCCGGCUUACCAACCCGAUGCAAACUGCGAAUACCGGAGAAUGUUAUCACGGGAGACACACGGCGGGUGCUAACGUCCGUCGUGAAGAGGGAAACAACCCAGACCGCCAGCUAAGGUCCCAAAGUCAUGGUUAAGUGGGAAACGAUGUGGGAAGGCCCAGACAGCCAGGAUGUUGGCUUAGAAGCAGCCAUCAUUUAAAGAAAGCGUAAUAGCUCACUGGUCGAGUCGGCCUGCGCGGAAGAUGUAACGGGGCUAAACCAUGCACCGAAGCUGCGGCAGCGAACGUAUCACCCAAGACAACUUUACGGAGUUGACGAUUGACGGAGCGAAGCGACGUCAAAGCGUUCAUUAAAGUCGAGUUGGCUUAGGGAUACGUUCGUUGGGUAGGGGAGCGUUCUGUAAGCCUGUGAAGGUGUGUCGUGAGGCAUGCUGGAGGUAUCAGAAGUGCGAAUGCUGACAUAAGUAACGAUAAAGCGGGUGAAAAGCCCGCUCGCCGGAAGACCAAGGGUUCCUGUCCAACGUUAAUCGGGGCAGGGUGAGUCGACCCCUAAGGCGAGGCCGAAAGGCGUAGUCGAUGGGAAACGGGUUAAUAUUCCCGUACUUGGUGUUACUGCGAAGGGGGGACGGAGAAGGCUAUGUUGGCCGGGCGACGGUUGUCCCGGUUUAAGCGUGUAGGUGUGUGUUCCAGGUAAAUCCGGUUCACUUUAACACUGAGGCGUGACGACGAGGCACUACGGUGCUGAAGCAACAAAUGCCCUGCUUCCAGGAAAAGCCUCUAAGCAUCAGGUAACAUCAAAUCGUACCCCAAACCGACACAGGUGGUCAGGUAGAGAAUACCAAGGCGCUUGAGAGAACUCGGGUGAAGGAACUAGGCAAAAUGGUGCCGUAACUUCGGGAGAAGGCACGCUGACACGU
This 1135-nucleotide ribosomal RNA is filed under the name Salmonella enterica. RNAcentral describes it as "bacterial LSU rRNA". It matches the Rfam family "Bacterial large subunit ribosomal RNA", at positions 711 to 1759 of the family's 2925-position model. The record is from RNAcentral. Lineage: Bacteria; Pseudomonadati; Pseudomonadota; Gammaproteobacteria; Enterobacterales; Enterobacteriaceae.